GAUGAACGCUGGCGGCGUGCCUAAUACAUGCAAGUCGAGCGAACAGACGAGGAGCUUGCUCCUUCGACGUUAGCGGCGGACGGGUGAGUAACACGUAGGUAACCUACCUAUAAGACUGGGAUAACUUCGGGAAACCGGAGCUAAUACCAGAUAAUAUUUCGAACCGCAUGGUUCGAUAGUGAAAGAUGGCUUUGCUAUCACUUAUAGAUGGACCUGCGCCGUAUUAGCUAGUUGGUAAGGUAACGGCUUACCAAGGCAACGAUACGUAGCCGACCGGAGAGGGUGAUCGGCCACACUGGAACUGAGACACGGUCCAGACUCCUACGGGAGGCAGCAGUAGGGAAUCUUCCGCAAAGGGCGAAAGCCUGACGGAGCAACGCCGCGUGAGUGAUGAAGGUCUUCGGAUCGUAAAACUCUGUUAUUAGGGAAGAACAAACGUGUAAGUAACUGUGCACGUCUUGACGGUACCUAAUCAGAAAGCCACGGCUAACUACGUG
Molecule: ribosomal RNA, 497 nt
Filed under: uncultured bacterium
Lineage: Bacteria
Description: partial 16S ribosomal RNA
Rfam family: Bacterial small subunit ribosomal RNA
Source: RNAcentral